GUGCCAGCAGCCGCGGUAAUACGAAGGGUGCAAGCGUUACUCGGAAUUACUGGGCGUAAAGCGUGCGUAGGUGGUCGUUUAAGUCCGUUGUGAAAGCCCUGGGCUCAACCUGGGAACUGCAGUGGAUACGGGGCGACUAGAGUGUGGUAGAGGGUAGCGGAAUUCCUGGUGUAGCAGUGAAAUGCGUAGAGAUCAGGAGGAACAUCCAUGGCGAAGGCAGCUACCUGGACCAACACUGACACUGAGGCACGAAAGCGUGGGGAGCAAACAGGAUUAGAUACCCUGGUAGUCCACGCCCUAAACGAUGCGAACUGGAUGUUGGGUGCAGUUUGGCACGCAGUAUCGAAGCUAACGCGUUAAGUUCGCCGCCUGGGGAGUACGGUCGCAGGACUGAAGCUCAAAGGAAUUGACGGGGGCCCGCACAAGCGGUGGAGUAUGUGGUUUAAUUCGAUGCAACGCGAAGAACCUUACCUGGCCUUGACAUGUCGAGAACUUUCCAGAGAUGGAUUGGUGCCUUCGGGA
This 522-nucleotide ribosomal RNA is filed under the name uncultured Pseudomonas sp. RNAcentral's name for it is "bacterial SSU rRNA". It matches the Rfam family "Bacterial small subunit ribosomal RNA", at positions 505 to 1025 of the family's 1533-position model. The record is from RNAcentral. Lineage: Bacteria; Pseudomonadati; Pseudomonadota; Gammaproteobacteria; Pseudomonadales; Pseudomonadaceae.